UAAUUAGUUAAAAUGUUAAUUAAUUAAAGGAUGAUUAUGAACCUAAGCCUAUAAUAAUUGAGCUAUGUGAAAGGCCGUUUCAAAUUUGUUUGAACCAUGGGAAUGUGUAGAUUAAGAUUUUGGUUGUAAUUUGAAUUGUUUCAAAUGUUGUAAAUGUAAUGAGCAUAAGCUCACCUUUACUUUGAAGUAUUUCUUUCUUGCUUUAUAUGAUAUGCAUGAAAAUGAAGUAAUUGGGUCCAACGCCCCU
Molecule: long non-coding RNA, 247 nt
Filed under: Malus domestica (apple)
Lineage: Eukaryota; Viridiplantae; Streptophyta; Magnoliopsida; Rosales; Rosaceae
Description: long non-coding RNA (MDOM_LNC012748)
Source: RNAcentral